CGGGGCCCCAGGUCGGGCGG
This 20-nucleotide ribosomal RNA is filed under the name Rinorea guianensis. RNAcentral describes it as "partial 28S ribosomal RNA". The record is from RNAcentral. Lineage: Eukaryota; Viridiplantae; Streptophyta; Magnoliopsida; Malpighiales; Violaceae.